UAGAAUGUGUGUCAUAAAAAAUGUCCAGUCAUGAUGAAACUGCUUGUUAUGAACGCUCAAAUAAUAAAUGCGCAGAUAUUUCAGCUGGUUCUGCCGGCUGAGGUCAAGCCCGACAGCUCGACGGCACAGCGGUCGCAGACCACGGGGCACCUGCUGCUCCACAUGCCCCGGGCUCAAGGUGAAAUCAAGGUGACAAAAGCUGCCAUACAUCCAUCGAAAGAUGACCGCCGCCGCCGCGGCAGCUCGCCCGACAGCAAGAAAAGGGGUCGGUCACUGAUGACAACAGUGAGAGUUCUCUGUAUAUAAAACACACGCUGGUUUCUGGCUCAUCACCAUCUCAGCGCCGUCAUCAGCAUUUUACAAGCAGGGUGGCGUGUCGUCCUUCAAGCCCCCCCGCUGCCCUGGUGACCAACGUCUUUAAUCAAACGUUUGAUCAAAAAAAGCUGACAGCUGAUUUAUUCUCCAUGGACGCCAUUAGGACGACCUCCGCGGUGUCAUUGGUUUUUGAUCUGCUCACUGAUGACAUCAUGAUUGCAUCACGAUCGGCAGCUAUUGGUAGGGGAAGUUCAAAGUUCAGGGUGACAUGAAAAUUCUGACCUUAACGGUUUGGUAGGGUCCACAAGUGCAAGAGGUCCCUUUCUUCAUUUUUCAGCCAGAUUGAGAUGAGAUGCUUCACUAUUUUGGUCACUUCAGCGACAGCGACGAUUAACUCUUGAUAUAUUCCUA
Hippocampus comes (tiger tail seahorse) is the source of this 726-nucleotide long non-coding RNA. RefSeq lists it as uncharacterized. NCBI's taxonomy places the organism in Eukaryota, Metazoa, Chordata, Actinopteri, Syngnathiformes, Syngnathidae. The record is from RefSeq and is a predicted model, not a curated record. The transcript has 3 exons.